Carya illinoinensis is the source of this 6247-nucleotide long non-coding RNA. RefSeq lists it as uncharacterized. The record is from RefSeq and is a predicted model, not a curated record. NCBI's taxonomy places the organism in Eukaryota, Viridiplantae, Streptophyta, Magnoliopsida, Fagales, Juglandaceae. The transcript is spliced from 4 exons.
UCCGGCCAUUCCGGCCUUGAAUAGAACGAAUUUUAAAACAUUGGUAUAAACUCCCAUGCUAAUCUGCUUUAUAAAGGUUUGAAAAAUUGGAGGGCAGGCCAUUUUUUAUUUCAGAUGCUGAGUAUGUUGUGUUUCAUUCUCCAUAAAACAAGCUUGUGCAGAAAAGUUUUGCUCGCUUGUUCUUUAACGAUUUCUUGAGGAACAGCAGCUUUGUUGAUGAGGCUGCAAGAGAAAAGCUAGCCCCAUUUUCAGCACUUGCUGGUGAUGACAGCUGUCAGAACCGGGAUCUUGAAAAAGUAAGCUUAAUAGUCUCACUAUGAGCUGGCUAUGAAACUUUGUUGCUGCAUGCUGUCAGGCAACUCAGCAAGUUGCUAAAAGUCAAUAUGAUGCGAUGACGACCUUAAUCCUAAUCCCGAAACAAGUUGGUAACCUGUACACUGUAUCUCUUUAUGCAGCUUUUGCAUCCCUUAUUCACAACAAGCAUAGCUCACUGGCAGGUAAGCGGGUAGUUAUGUUUUCAUAUGGGAGUGGUUUGACUGCAACAAUGUUCUCAUUCCAACUUUGAGAAGGUCAUCAUCCUUUCAGCUUGUCAAACAUUGCGAACGUGAGGAAUAUUUCUGGAAAGUUGAAAUCAAUAGGUGUAUGCUUUCGUAUACCUCUAGUGUCCUUGGGUUGUGUCUAUCUUUAUAUUAAUGAAAUAUCUUAUUACUUAUGAAAAAAAAGGGAAGUUGAAAUCAAGACUUGAGGUAUCUCUCCUUAAUAGAAACACGAUAAGAGAGGAAAUGUAAAAGCUGUGUAUAUUCUUCAUAUUUAUCUGCUUGUACAGUAGUGGUAUUUAUACACAUAGUAGUCUGAUUAUUGUUAUAACCGUAAGGGUCAUAUAUGACAAUACACAACAUAUUCUAGACUAUUCUGCUCCUUAAUGCUGAGGUGGUGCAGAGGUUGAGUUGGCCUUGGCAUCUUUUGUGAUAUGGUUAACAUCCCCCUGCGAGCCAAGCAGUCCUGGAAGGAUUGUGAGGCUUGACCGAAGUGUGCAGAACCUUGAGACAUAAAGUGGCUUUGUAAAGAUAUCAGCAAGUUGAUCCUUGCUUGAGAGAAAUGAUAUUUGAAGAGUUUUGGCAUGAAUGCGAUCCCGAAAAAAAUGAAAAUCAAUAUCAACAUGUUUCGUGCGAGAGUGCAUAACUGGGUUCACUAAGAGGUAAGUGGCUCCCAAAUUGUCACAAUAAAGAGUAGGUGGUUUGGGCAAAAAAAUACCCAGUUCAGAUAGAAGUGACUGGAUCCAAAUUAACUCACACGUUGCAUGGGCCAAAGCCUUAUAUUCAGCCUCAGUGCUGGAUCUUGCAAUAGUGGCCUGUUUCUUGGAACUCCAGCAAACCAGAUUUUUACCAUAGAACACACAAUACCCUCUAGUUGAUUUUCUGUCAUCUGGACACCCGGCCCAGUCAGCAUCCGAGAAGGCAGCUAGUGUAGGAGACUGAGAUGGUGUGAUUUGGAGCCCAUAAUCCAAUGUAUGCUUGAGAUAGCAUAAAAUACGCUUAACAGAUUGCCAGUGAGAGAUACAAGGAGCGUGCAUGUACUAGCACACUCGAUUUACAGAGAAAGAUAAAUCUGGCCUGGUGAAUAACAGAUACUGUAAACUGCCCACCACACUCCGAUAUAAGGAUGGAUCUUCCAUAGAUGUAGAAUCAAAAGCAGUAAGCUUAGUAGAAGGUGACAUGGGGCUACUCACAGAGUUACAGUCGAGCAUAUUUGUUUUCUUGAGUAAAUCAAGAAUAUACUUUUUCUGAGAUAAGACAAGGUCAUGAACAUCUUGAUGGCAUUCUAUGCCCAAAAAAUAGUGAAUCGGUCCCAGAUCUUUAAUGGGAAACUCAGCACUCAACAGAGUCACAAGUUGAUCUAAUGCAAAUUGGUUUGAGCCCGUAAGUACCACAUCAUCAACAUAGACUAAGAAGUAGAUAAUAACAGACUAAUGCUGAUAGAUAAACAAUGACGUAUCAGAUUUUGAUACACAAAAACUCAAUUCAAGAAGUUUGGAACUAAGCCGUGCAUACCACGCACGAGGGGCCUGUUUAAGGCCAUAAAGGGCUCGAUUCAAUUUGCACACGUAAUGAGGAAAUUGUGGGUGAAUAAAACCCAUUGGUUGUGACAUAAAAACAUCUUCAUCAAGUGUACCGUGCAAAAAUGCAUUUUGUACAUCUAGUUGAUGUAUCGGCCAGCCAGAUAAAAUAGCAACAGAUAAUACCAACCUGAUGGAAGUAGGCUUUACCACCGGACUAAAAGUUUCUGAGUAGUCCAGUCCUUCGAGUUGGCUGUAGCCUUUGGCUACAAGGCGGGCCUUCCUGCGGUCUAUGGUGCCAUCAGACAGGUACUUUGUCUUGAAAAUCCACCAACAGCCCACGAGAUUUUGAGAGGUAUCAGGAGGAACCAAUGUCCAAGUUUUAUUGGAAAGCAAGGCAUCGAACUCAAGUUGCAUGGCCUUUCUCCAUUCGGGAAACUUAGAAGCUUCGGUGACAGAGGUGGGUUCGGCUGGAAUGACAGCAGAGGUUAUAUGGGCACGAGGGUGAGGCCACGAAAUUGUCCCGUCGGUUCGUAUUUUGGGAAAAUGUUUAUGGGAUUUUACUCUUGUUUGCAUAGGAUGAGUGGAAGAGACUAUCGGCACAGGGGAGACACGAGUUUGAGAGGAAAGAUUUUCAGAGGUAGGAGAUGAUGCCCUAGGUGAGAAAGGUAAAGGGCUGGAGUCGGGUGUGGGCUUAGUGGGUGGAGAAGGCUCAGUCUUUUGAGAAGCUGAGGUGGGCUGAGCUGAGUGUGGGCCCGAGGACAAAACAGAAGGAAUAAGUGAGUUUGAGGCAAGAUUGGGUCCAGUGGGAUUUAAGGGACGGGUUGGAGGAGAUGGUAGAGUAAAAUGAAGAGUUGGCCUGGAACUUGGAUCAGAAGAGUAAGGCCGGGAAGUGCAGGAGGAAAGAGUAGCAAAGGGGAAAAUACUUUCAUCAAAUAAAACAUCCCGAGAGAUGUAUAACCGGGCAGUGGGGAUAUGAAAACACAGGUAUCCAUGAUGAUCCGAGCUAUAGCCAAGAAAUACACAGGGAAUUGAACGAAAAUUCAACUUGUGUUUAUUAUAUGGUCUGAGGUUAGGCCAACAAAGACAACCAAAGGUUUUAAAAAAAAGUGUAAUCAGGUCGUUUGUGAAAUAAAAUUUCAAAUGGAGAUUUAUUGUGUAGAACUGGUGUAGGCAUUCGAUUUAUUAAAAAAACAGCAGUGAUAAAGGCAUCGGACCAGUAAGUCUGAGGUGUAGAAGAAUGAGCGAGUAAUGCAAGGCCAGUUUCAACAAUAUGUUGAUGUUUUCUUUCAAUGGAACCAUUUUGAGAAUGAGCAUAUGGACACGAAAGACGGUGAGAAAUUCCAGAGGAAUGUAACAAGGUAUUUAGAGAUCAAAAUUCUCCUCCCCAAUCAUACUGUAUUGCUCGAAUUUUUGUAUUAAGAAGAGUUUCUACAUGACGCUUAAAAAAUAAAAAGAUAGAGACUACAUCAGAUUUACAUUUUAAAGGAAAUAACCAAGUAAAUCUGGUAUAAUCAUCGACAAAAGACAAGUAAUAACGAAAGCCACCACGUGACAGAACUGGAGCAGGGCCCCAAACAUCUGAAAAAAGAAGCUGUAGAGGAGCAGUUGAGUGAGAUGCAGUAGGUGCAUAAGGAAGUUGGUGCAUUUUAGCUUGGCAGCAAGAAGAACAUAGACUAGAAGCUGAUGGAGAAGCUGACUUCACGGGUAGAGAGGCUUGUGAAAUUAUUUUCUGAACAACUGACAUAGAUGGAUGGCCUAAACGCAGAUGCCAUUGAGAUGGAGGGACUCGGACAGCAGUGUGAGCUUGAGGUGAGAAAAGAGCAGGAGGGAAGAUGUACAUCCCAUUGCUAGUAGGACCUUGAAGGAGUAUUUUCUUGGUGCAAAUAUCCUUCACAUAAAAACAAGAAGAGUGAAAUUCAAAAAACACUGAGCUGUCCUCACAAAGUUUUCGGACAGAAAUUAAAUUUUUAGAAAGUGAAGGAACAUGAAAAAGUUGAGGGAGUAGAAGAUUGCCAGAGGUGGAUGGAAGAGUUGAGCUGCCAACAUGUUGAAUGGGUAGAGAGUUUCCAUCUCCAACACGCACCUGUUCAUCUCCUUUGUACUCAGAUGGAUUAAUAGUUAGAUUAGAAAAAUUAUGAGUAAAGUGAUGAGUAGCCGCAAAAUCUGGAUACCAAUUGCUGUCAACUGAAGAGGCUGUGUCAUUAGUGAAAGAUGAAGCAAAAGUGAAGUGAGCUGAGAGAGAUGGAGGUGGAGGUGAUUGAUAGCUGUGAUCAAAUCUAUAGUAGCAGGAAAGAGCAGAAUGUCCGGGUCUAUUGCAAACUUGACACGACGGGCGAUGUUGGGAAAAAUAGGAUGGGGUAAACCGACCAUUAUUUCGACCUCUUGCUCGGCCUCUAUAACCUCCUCUGCCUCUAGACAUACCACGAUCCCUGGGAGUAAAGUUGGGAGAAUUUUUUGUGGUAGCAUUAACUGAAAAUUCAGGUGAAGCAGUGAGGGUGGUCUGUUGAUGGGCUAAACGUGACUCAUGAGUGAGUAGGUAACUAUAUCCUUGUGAGGGACUGAGAGGUAUGAUUUGUGUAGUGAUUGAGGUAACAACCGAAUCGAAAUCAGAUCCCAAACCAGCCACCAAAUAAGUGAUAAACUCAGAGGAGGUUAGAGUUUUACCAGUAGCUGCUAGAGUGUCACGAAGGAGCUUAGCUUUUUGAUAGUAGUCUGCAAUGGAAUCGGGUCCCUUCUUCAAAGUGUUCAGUUGAUAUUGAAGUUGCAUGACUCUGGCCUGUGACUGAGCUGCAAAUAAGUCAACCAAAAAUUUCCAUAACCUCACGUGAAGUUGAGGCAUCAAGAACAUGAGCAAUUAAAGACUCGGACAGAGAUGAGAUUAGCACACUCAUGAUAGCCUGGUCUUGUUGUUUCCAGGUUAAGUAUGCUGCACUCGGUGUUGUAGAGUUUUUGUCAAACAUCGGAGGGGUGGUAACAGACCCAUCAAUAUAACCAUAUAAAUUCUGACCUUUGAGGUAAGGUAUUAGUUGCGCCUUCUACAAAAGGUAGUUAUCAUGGUUUAGUCGAACAUUGAUACAAUGAGUAGAGGAGGGGAGGGAAAAACUUGUGCUGAAGGUAGGUGUUGAAUUUCGAGAAGGAGGUGUUUUUGUCAUGGCUGAGUGUUGUUGGAUGCAAGUCUUAUUUGGCUCUGAUACCAUAAUAGAAACACGAUAAGAGAGGAAAUGUAAAAGCUGUGUAUAUUCUUCAUAUUUAUCUGCUUGUACAGUAGUGGUAUUUAUACACAUAGUAGUCUGAUUAUUGUUGUAACCGUAAGGGUCAUAUAUGACAAUACACAACAUAUUCUAGACUAUUCUGCUCCUGAAUGUUGAGCUGGUGCAGAGGCUGAGUUGGCCUUGGCAUCUUUGGUGAUAUGGUUAACACUCCUUCACAACUUUCUUUAACUCUGGGCCAAAUCAAUUUGUGCUUGCCUUGGUUCUUAGGCAACAGGGAGCUUGGCUGGCCUAUUUUUUUUUUUUCUUUUUAAAUGUGGUCUUAAAUGGUAACUAUUACUCCCCUGCCCCAAGUCCCUGCUGAGAAGUUUCAUCAACACACAUCAUCGGCUCAUUUGCACCCUAGCUCAAUGACCAUUUGAAUUAUGACCUUUAAACAACACCAUCUCACGUGCAGUUUCCUCCUGAGAAAUUUGUUGAAACUUUUGAGGCCCAUGGAGCUUCGAUAUGGACCGAAGGACAUUGUGACAAGCAAGAUAGUCCUGUCUUAGUCCCGGGCACCUACUAUCUCACCGAAGUUGACUCAACGUACUGGUGAUUUUACACCAAGCAAUCUGACUACAUAGUAACCAAUCCUUAUAAGGCAUUAAGGCUUCUACCUUUGAUAAUGGUUCAGUAGUUGUUGCUCAAUGAUAAUUACUUGCUUGAUAAUAUCUGACUGUUCUCUCUCCCCAAGUUGAAGUGUUGUUUGUAGUGGUGUAAUUGUCCAACCAGUCUCAGUCUCUAGUUGUUUUUUUUUUUAAUCAAUGCGUCUCUUUUGAAAUAUUCAGCCAUGUUUGGCCUGUUAUUCACCGUCAGAAACCAUAAUUCUAGAUAAUUCGCACCACAUACUCUUGGCUUCAGAUUGGAAGAUAAUCCAUUACACUGUACGCUUCUUGUGAACUAUAGCCACCUAUUAUUGGGCAACAAUUUUGCUACU